Molecule: unclassified non-coding RNA, 1111 nt
Filed under: Cakile arabica
Lineage: Eukaryota; Viridiplantae; Streptophyta; Magnoliopsida; Brassicales; Brassicaceae
Description: partial external transcribed spacer
Source: RNAcentral
AAAGAAAAUUUUCUGAAAGGAAACAUCACAAAUAUGUCACUAAAGAGUUUAAGAUGUCAAGUGUUGAUCAAAAGUUGUCAUAGGCAUCCGUAAAGGCCAUGAAAGCUCGAUCAUUGUGGCAUYCAAAAGUCAUGGCUAGAAGCAAAAGAAAAUUAUGAAAAUUUACCAGAAAAUAGCUUCAACCAUCCUUAUGAAGCAUGCAAAAAAUCAGAUUCAAAUUCGAAGUAUUUUUUUUUUUACAUUAAAAAUACUCACGGAACACAAUCAAUGUCUACUGCUGAAAGUCUGAAAAAAAGCCAUUUGUCUAUAUAAGGGGUAGGCACUCUUCAGUGCCUAACCCCCCAWGGUUGGGCGUCCGUAUGGGUGUGGGCAAUGUCCGAGUGCCUAGUGCACGACGACUGUCCAUAYGUACGUCCAACCUCCGGGCUGUCUCCGGUGACUUUUCCGGCGACUUUCCGGCGACCGCCAAAAUGACCGUUUUGCCCCUGAUUUUUUUUUNCGCGCUUGUGCGGUCUUGGCCUGGUUUCGUUUGUCUUCCUGUUGCUCUACUGAUUUUCAUCAGACGAGUGGCAGGAAAGAUCGACGUUAGCGGGGCAAAUGAACGUUCGGCGUAUGAGUGGUGAUUGGAUAGCCAGUGUUUGUAGGCUCCGUGCUCGCGCACCCAACUACAGACCAACUGUCCUUCUCAGUUUCUUCACAAGCAUAGAUAUGCUUGCUGACUUGAUCCUGGGCCUGUGUUGCGUACCUAUCCAGAAGGAAUUGUUGAGCCUUGCUCGAUAUUUUGUUUGCGGUAUCUCCUUCAUCGGAGAUGUCGUGAACACAAAAGCCGGCACUUGUGAUCCUUUCGGCUAUUGCAUAAAUUAUGCAUUGCUCGCAAAGGUGAACAAGCUGUCAGCUGAAAUCUCGGUUGCGGAAAUAUUAUGGACGGUGACUCGAAGUAAUUCGGUCCCGCCAAGCAUAAUUGUCUCCGGACAAAAGAUGACGGCCAAGACCAUUUCUGUUCCUGCUUUCCUAGCGUAUGCGGGAAUCCUGCUUUCCUAGUGUUCGCGGGAAUCCUUCAUUCCUAGCGCUUGCGGGAAUACGAUUCGGUCUUGCYGUGAUUUAUGAAUGC